This 578-nucleotide ribosomal RNA is filed under the name uncultured bacterium. Its description in RNAcentral is "bacterial SSU rRNA". It matches the Rfam family "Bacterial small subunit ribosomal RNA", at positions 338 to 916 of the family's 1533-position model. The record is from RNAcentral.
UCCACGGGAGGCAGCAGUGAGGAAUAUUGGUCAAUGGACGAAAGUCUGAACCAGCCAUCCCGCGUGCAGGAUGACGGCCCUAUGGGUUGUAAACUGCUUUUCUAUACCAAGAAUGGUUCUUACGUGUAAGGAUUUGACGGUAGUAUAGGAAUAAGGACCGGCUAACUCCGUGCCAGCAGCCGCGGUAAUACGGAGGGUCCAAGCGUUAUCCGGAUUUAUUGGGUUUAAAGGGUGCGCAGGCGGAACUUUAAGUCAGUGGUGAAAUCUUGCCGCUUAACGGUAAAAUUGCCAUUGAUACUGAAGUUCUUGAAUAUGGUUGAGGUAGGCGGAAUGUGUUGUGUAGCGGUGAAAUGCAUAGAUAUGACACAGAACGCCGAUUGCGAAGGCAGCUUACUAAGCCAUUAUUGACACUGAGGCACGAAAGCGUGGGGAGCGAACAGGAUUAGAUACCCUGGUAGUCCACGCCGUAAACGAUGAUCACUCGCUGUUUGCGAUACACAGUAAGCGGCUGAGCGAAAGCAUUAAGUGAUCCACCUGGGGAGUACGAUCGCAAGGUUGAAACUCAAAUGAAUUGACGG